This 28-nucleotide non-coding RNA is filed under the name Bombyx mori (domestic silkworm). The record is from RNAcentral. Lineage: Eukaryota; Metazoa; Arthropoda; Insecta; Lepidoptera; Bombycidae.
UACGGCGUGAGAAGACGAAGGCAUCGGU